This is a non-coding RNA of Heterocephalus glaber (naked mole-rat), 638 nucleotides long. Lineage: Eukaryota; Metazoa; Chordata; Mammalia; Rodentia; Bathyergidae. The record is from RefSeq and is a predicted model, not a curated record.
AUAAAGCAAAGAUUCCCAGAGUGCCUCAUUCCAAACUCAAAUUCUUUGGCCCUGGCCUCACCAAUUUGGAUUAAGUAAACCUGGGUUGGAGUCCAGAAAUUUAUAGUUUGAACAGCACAGCAGGUGGGGCUAUACUCGUUCAGAGAAUGUUUCUGUUUUGUUUGAAAAGAUGCAACUGGCAGGAGCCCAGUGGUAGUUCCACGGAAACAACUGUGAUCCAGCACCUCCAAUUUAGAUCUGCUGUGGCACUGAAAACCAAGUAUUAAAGAUUGCAAACCCAUGGAAGAGGCCUGGCUUCCUGAAUCACUGCUCUAAGGAAGACACCUGCCUUUCAGGAACACCCACCUUGGACUGUAGAAGAGCCAGCAAUAAACCUAUGCUUUGUCAAACCAUUGAGAUUUUGGCAUUUCUGCCACAGCACUUGUUACUUAACUGAUACAGAAAGUAACACUGAAAUGGAAUUUUGGGGGAAUGUAGGACAUAGAUAAUCAAAGACGAUGUUGAGGGGAUCUCAUACAGGAAGGAUGAUAUGGACAAUGCAGUGGAGGACAGAAUGCAGCACAAUAGGUUGAAAUGGAAUAUUAUCAUUUGGGUUUUCAUUCCAUUCCUUUUUUUUUUUUUUCGGUACCAGGGAUUGA